GGAUGGUACAGUUUGUACAAGUUGUACUGCAGCAGCGCGUGGGCGUGGCCGAUACCGGCGACGGACGGGCGACUCGGCCACCAAAUCCACGCGCCACAGGCUUCGCUGUCGACGAUCCAUUCGCCAGACAAGAAUUAUGAAUGGAGGAAGUAUUUCAUUUUACUUUUGGUCUCCCGCCUCGGCUCCGCUACCAUUGACGACUCGAACACACGGCGAGGCGGCCCUCCCACUGGCGUCUUCUUCUAGCAGGUGAUGGCCCGGACGUAAAGGUGCACGCCCUUGGCGACUCGUCAUCGGACCGUUCAUAGCACUUAGCCGUGUCGCGUCCCUCGCCAAUAUCAUUCCAUCCCGCAGCUCUGCCUCACCGCCAUCCGACGCCGACCAUGCAUCUUUCGGAGCCUUUGGCAUUUGCAAUUUAGUUCAAUCGAGAUUUUCCUAAUGAAAAACACAAACAUCGAGACGUAUUACAGAGCUUGAAUAUACGCGUGUCCAUGUGUGAAUGUCUUUUCACAUUUAUGUAAGUCGCAGCGUGAUGGAAUAUGAUUUGCCAUGAAUCAGGUCUAAUACCAUUAUCUAUCCACGUGACAAGGUUUUGCCCAAACCCGCCACCAUGAAUGGUUUUAUGCCCAACUCUGUGGAGUAGGUAUUGCUACUUCAACUAGCUCCGCCUGAAGUACUCUUCCAGGGUCGGCGACGGUCCCUUCUCGAGCGACGACUUCAACUCCUUCUCCUGGUGGAUCACCACGCCGCCGAGCGGCAUCACGUGUCGAGCUCGUACAUGUCGCCUCGGAGCGGUGGCGGCGACAACUACGCGUCAUUGCGGCAGUAGAACCGAGAUGAAGCUGGGGUUGUAUCGGGGACGCGGGUGCGGCUGACGGAGCUGAAGAGGGAGUAAGGCCUGAAGUAGAGGAUGCGUGGGAUUACGGUGGCCGGCCAUUGGAGCAUGGCUGCACUCUACUUGCCUCGAUCUUGAUGUUCGGCGGCGGUGGCAGCGUGGGAUCCACGGACACGAGGUGGAAGGGAGGAAGGAUGGCGGCGACGAGCUCACAGUCACAAUGGUUGGAUGGGAAGAUGAGCCGGAGGACGAAGGCGGCGUUGGUGACGUGCGCCUAGCUAGCUUAGCAUUUGGUCCUGACCAAAAACCAUCCGCGGUAGCGAUCUUGGGAGCCCUCCGCCUUAAAUCCGUCCCUAGUGUCCGGUUUUGAAAGUUGAAUGACGAAAAAUGAACUUGACGACAAUUUGAGAGACGAAAAAAAAACACUUUCUAAGAAAUAAACGAAGUACACACACAGGUCAAACUGCAAAGUUUGUGCAAAGUCAUAAGAGUAAAACGCUGGCAUAUAUAUCGAGUUCAGUACACCUCGCAGGGGAAUUGUUCAUCCCGCCAACAAGAAUCUUCUCUAUCGAAACAACACAACACAACACCCGAGAUCCAA
Long non-coding RNA from Brachypodium distachyon (stiff brome), 1436 nucleotides. RefSeq lists it as uncharacterized. The record is from RefSeq and is a predicted model, not a curated record. The transcript has 2 exons. Lineage: Eukaryota; Viridiplantae; Streptophyta; Magnoliopsida; Poales; Poaceae.